UACGUAGGUGGCAAGCGUUGUCCGGAAUUAUUGGGCGUAAAGCGCGCGCAGGCGGUCCUUUAAGUCUGAUGUGAAAUCUUGCGGCUCAACCGCAAGCGGUCAUUGGAAACUGGGGGACUUGAGUGCAGAAGAGGAAAGCGGAAUUCCACGUGUAGCGGUGAAAUGCGUAGAGAUGUGGAGAAACCCCAGUGGCGAAGGCGGCUUUCUGGUCUGUAACUGACGCUGAGGCGCGAAAGCGUGGGGAGCAAACAGG
This 253-nucleotide ribosomal RNA is filed under the name uncultured bacterium. RNAcentral describes it as "partial 16S ribosomal RNA". It matches the Rfam family "Bacterial small subunit ribosomal RNA", at positions 524 to 776 of the family's 1533-position model. The record is from RNAcentral.